This 207-nucleotide ribosomal RNA is filed under the name uncultured bacterium. RNAcentral's name for it is "partial 16S ribosomal RNA". It matches the Rfam family "Bacterial small subunit ribosomal RNA", at positions 568 to 774 of the family's 1533-position model. The record is from RNAcentral.
UUCGUAGGUGGUUCGUUACGUCGGAUGUGAAAAUCUGGGGCUCAACCCCAGACCUGCAUUCGAUACGGGCGAGCUAGAGUUUGGUAGGGGAGACUGGAAUUCCUGGUGUAGCGGUGGAAUGCGCAGAUAUCAGGAGGAACACCAAUGGCGAAGGCAGGUCUCUGGGCCAAUACUGACACUGAGGAACGAAAGCGUGGGGAGCGAACA